UGCAGCUCAAACAGCGAGCUAUUAAUGAUAUAUUUAGUUCAAGAUCUUCUCAGUUUCCUUUCGAUUCAGUUCGUCAUAUCUAUCCUGCGAUACCUUUUUCUUCAUUCCAGAUUUAGUAGCUUUCAUUUUUAACUUAUCAAUGUAUCGAGAUAUAUAUGUCAAAUAAAACAACUGGUUCAGUAAAAUGGUUUAACGAGUCAAAAGGCUUUGGUUUUAUCACUCCAGACAAUGGUGGCGCAGAUGUGUUUGUUCAUUUCAACGCUAUUGUGUCAGAGGGCUUCAAAACGCUAGCUGAAGGCCAAAAAGUAAGCUUUACCGUAGAGCAGGGCAACAAAGGCCCACAAGCUGCGGCCGUUACUUUCGCGUAACCAACACUGUAUAGCGAGAACUCGUUUAUGGCCUAGAUCCUAGUUAUGGCGAGUUCUUUCUU
Molecule: small RNA, 430 nt
Filed under: Vibrio proteolyticus NBRC 13287
Lineage: Bacteria; Pseudomonadati; Pseudomonadota; Gammaproteobacteria; Vibrionales; Vibrionaceae
Description: cspA thermoregulator
Rfam family: cspA thermoregulator
Source: Rfam by way of RNAcentral